Molecule: non-coding RNA, 46 nt
Organism: Callithrix jacchus (white-tufted-ear marmoset)
Lineage: Eukaryota; Metazoa; Chordata; Mammalia; Primates; Cebidae
Source: Rfam
AGAAAGGCCCUUCUCAGGGCCAUCUUAGGACCCAGCAACCGUAUUU